UACGAAGGGUGCAAGCGUUACUCGGAAUUACUGGGCGUAAAGCGUGCGUAGGUGGUUUGUUAAGUCUGUCGUGAAAGCCCCGGGCUCAACCUGGGAAUUGCGAUGGAUACUGGCAGACUAGAGUGUGGCAGAGGGUAGUGGAAUUCCUGGUGUAGCAGUGAAAUGCGUAGAGAUCAGGGGGGAACAUCCGUGGCGAAGGCGACUGCCUGGGCCAACACUGACACUGAGGCACGAAAGCGUGGGGAGCAAACAGG
This 254-nucleotide ribosomal RNA is filed under the name uncultured Lysobacteraceae bacterium. Its description in RNAcentral is "uncultured Xanthomonadaceae bacterium partial 16S ribosomal RNA". It matches the Rfam family "Bacterial small subunit ribosomal RNA", at positions 524 to 776 of the family's 1533-position model. The record is from RNAcentral. Lineage: Bacteria; Pseudomonadati; Pseudomonadota; Gammaproteobacteria; Lysobacterales; Lysobacteraceae.